AUUAAGUUCAUUCCUGAGAGACAACUUUCCUCUAGUUUUUAGUCGCUAGCUAGCUUUAGUCAGACCAAUUAGCAUCCAGUUUGAUUCAUUUCCAAAGUGCUCCUAAAUGAAACAGAAGUCAUGGUUUGACUCACCCUGUGCUUUUAUGCAAGUGAACCAAACUGAAAUGACGGCCUCUUUGUCUUUCUCAUUUCAUGAAACUCAGAGCAGCUUCUCUGGGUAAGCAGGUGAUCAGGUUAAGAGGUGGUUCUCUGCCAUCAAGGAGAAUUCCAAGUAAGUGGGCAUUUUCGUGUAAUCUUAAAAUCCAAAGCCUGUAGAAUGGAGAUGUUACUGCAUUAAAUCAGAAAGUACCGAUAAUUAAUCUCCACAAUGAAAACAAAAUCAGAAUUCUCCAAAAUAUUGCAACAACACUACUUUUGGUACAGCAGUUCUUGCAUAGUAUUUGACCUUUUUAUAGCCAUCAUGACUUCUGUUUUUAUAUUCAGUCACUUAUUUCUUUUUUAUACAGUUAUCAUUUUAAAUUACCAUGUGCAGUAGCCCUAUUGUUCAGACUGCAUGUUAUUAUUAUCGUUGGGGGAUUGCAAGAGUGAAAUAGUUUGUAGAGUUAUAUUAAAAUGUGAGAAGACUAAUGGAAUACUAUGUACAUUUCAUAACUUAGAACUAAAAGCUCUAGUUCUAAGUUAUUUUAGUAUUUAUAAUCAAGUGUGUGUGAGUGGGGGGUGGAGCAAUUUGCCCCUAUAAGUACAACCAACAGAGCAGGGCCAGUGGUGAGAAACUUAAACGUCUGGAUGCUAAUUGCUCUCUCUCAGUGAUGACUCUCCUGCACAGUGUCCUUGCUCUGGUCCUCAGCUGGACAGGUCUCUGUUCAGUCCUGUACAUUUUCAGUACUGGACUGGUUGCUGUGGUUGCACUUUGGACUGCGAGGCUGCUGCUGCGUUACACCUGGUACUCUCACAGGUUGUCCUGUUUCAGCAAACCACAGACACGUUCAUGGCUGUUGGACCAUCUUGGGAAGAUGCAGAGCACAGAAGAAGGCCUCCAGUGGGUGGAUGACCUGGUGCAGACAUACAAACACUCCUGCUGCUGGUUCCUCGGUCCUUUCUACCAUCUGGUCAGACUCUUCCACCCUGACUACGUCAAACCUCUGCUUAUAAAACACCAACAGUCAGUCUGAAGCUAAGCUUUUGGUGUUUGCUUACAUUGUUCAUCAUUUACUUCCUUCAGCCAGCAUCACAGUGAAAGAUGAAUUAAUUUCUCACCGCCUGCGCCCAUGGCUGGGACACAGUGUGUUGAUCAGUAAUGGAGUGGUGUGGUCCCGCGAGAGACGACUGCUCACUCCAGCUUUUCAUUUUGAUAUAUUGAGGAGCUACAUUGCUGUAUUUAAC
This is a long non-coding RNA of Haplochromis burtoni (Burton's mouthbrooder), 1385 nucleotides long. RefSeq lists it as uncharacterized. The transcript has 3 exons. The record is from RefSeq and is a predicted model, not a curated record. NCBI's taxonomy places the organism in Eukaryota, Metazoa, Chordata, Actinopteri, Cichliformes, Cichlidae.